GAGCUGUUGCUCUCCUCAAGCCCAAUAAUGUUGAAUCAAUGGAAGAAUGACAAGCAUUUGUCAAAGAGCGCAAUUCUCAACAGUAUAAGGCAAGCUGUCAUUACUUUUUCCUAAAUUGCUUACUGCAUCUGCUCUAUAUUCCUAAUAAAAAUAAUUUUUACACAUUACUAAUUGAUGUUGUAGGAAAAAAGUGAAAGAUUCAGAAAGAUGAGAGCAGGUCAAACCUUAAUGCAUACAACAAGUAGAAAGGGCUUUGCUCGUUUAGAAGUUGAAAUGGUAAAAAAUUGUUAAAUUUAAAGUUAAAUUUGCUUGACGAAUUAUAAACGUUUACGUUAUUACAUAUAUGAAAUAAGUGAAAUGCAACGUGCCGAAAGUGAAGACCCAGAUUCCAUAAUGAGAGAUGAUGUUUAUAUUCGAUGGCAUACGCGAAAAAAUGGUGAACCUAUUAAUGAAUCAGCUGGGGAAACAAUGGUAACAAUAUUGCUUUUCGUGAUUUUUGGUCAUUCAAAGCUUAUAUUUAUAAUUUUAGCCCAUUAAUUUAUUUCCUAAUAUUAGAACAAAAUAAAAGCAUGUUCAGAGAUGAUUACCUCUCCUAGCCAACACUCCCUUAAAGAUGAUGGUGUUGCUAGAGUACUUGGUCCUGAACGUCGAGGAAGGGUAAGAGGUCUUGGUUUCGG
This 677-nucleotide long non-coding RNA is filed under the name Olea europaea subsp. europaea. The record is from RNAcentral. Lineage: Eukaryota; Viridiplantae; Streptophyta; Magnoliopsida; Lamiales; Oleaceae.